Molecule: ribosomal RNA, 254 nt
Filed under: uncultured Sphingopyxis sp.
Lineage: Bacteria; Pseudomonadati; Pseudomonadota; Alphaproteobacteria; Sphingomonadales; Sphingopyxidaceae
Description: partial 16S ribosomal RNA
Rfam family: Bacterial small subunit ribosomal RNA
Source: RNAcentral
UACGAGGGGAGCUAGCGUUAUUCGGAAUUACUGGGCGUAAAGCGCGCGUAGGCGGUUUUUUUAAGUCAGAGGUGAAAGCCUGGAGCUCAACUCCAGAACUGCCUUUGAAACUGGAAAACUUGAAUCUUGGAGAGGUCAGUGGAAUUCCGAGUGUAGAGGUGAAAUUCGUAGAUAUUCGGAAGAACACCAGUGGCGAAGGCGACUGACUGGACAAGUAUUGACGCUGAGGUGCGAAAGCGUGGGGAGCAAACAGG